Molecule: transfer RNA, 91 nt
Filed under: Phyllobacterium sp. 628
Lineage: Bacteria; Pseudomonadati; Pseudomonadota; Alphaproteobacteria; Hyphomicrobiales; Phyllobacteriaceae
Description: tRNA-Ser
Rfam family: tRNA
About the family: Transfer RNA (tRNA) molecules are approximately 80 nucleotides in length. Their secondary structure includes four short double-helical elements and three loops (D, anti-codon, and T loops).
Source: RNAcentral
GGAGGGGUGGCCGAGCGGUUUAAGGCACCGGUCUUGAAAACCGGCGUAGGUGAGAGCCUACCGUGGGUUCAGAAUCCCACCCCCUCCGCCA